ACGAACGCCCUUCUUUCAGUCGGCUUGGCUAUUGACAAUAUUGGUUGUCCCUUUGAAAUUUAGACUUUAGUUUUGCAUUUUGUACUUUGUAAUAGAAGUUUGCAUUCUCGUGAAUUUUCGAUUUAUUAGCUAAUAAUAACAUUUUUUAUUACAUUUGAAUUUAGUAUUACUGUUCACUCAGUAAAAGGAACGAUCUACUACGAUCUAGCUCAAUUCAUGGUGCAGCACUACAAGCAGGGAUUAGAAGAGCAAAAAAAAAUUGAAGACUGUAUUCACAAUGGUUACGAAGAACAAAUGUUUUUUUUUGUAUUAUCUUAAAGAUUAAUUUUUUGUUUUGUUUUUUAGACAUAUACAUGUUUUGUCUUAUAUUUUUUAUUUUCAUAACCAAUAUGUUUUCAGUUUUUUUACAAUUUAUAAAUAAAAAGUUAUUUUUUC
Anthonomus grandis grandis is the source of this 435-nucleotide long non-coding RNA. RefSeq lists it as uncharacterized. NCBI's taxonomy places the organism in Eukaryota, Metazoa, Arthropoda, Insecta, Coleoptera, Curculionidae. The transcript is spliced from 2 exons. The record is from RefSeq and is a predicted model, not a curated record.